Molecule: long non-coding RNA, 796 nt
Organism: Orbicella faveolata
Lineage: Eukaryota; Metazoa; Cnidaria; Anthozoa; Scleractinia; Merulinidae
Source: RefSeq, a predicted model, not a curated record
AGUUUAUUGUGACGUGAAUCAAUGGACGCGUGAAGGGAUUUUUCCCUAUCCCGGCAUGCUCGUUGAACCGUUCUUCCUUGUCAACUCAUAAGCGAUUUAUCACUAUGUACCUUUACGGUUGCGAUUUGGUGGUUGUUCGACAUUAUAGCCUACACUGGAAACAAGCAUUGACUCCAGACUAAUCAGGAGUGUUAAAUUGAGGCAAAAGCGAUCCUCGGCUACUGCAGGAAGUUCAUCGCCCUUGUUUCGGGGAAUCGACGGAAUACAGGUCUGCGACGACAUCAUCAAGCUCUAAAGAUUCUGAAUACUAAAGACAAGAGAGACAGCUAAAGACAAGACAGACUCAUCUCUGGUUCUGCUGAUUUUGCCCAGGGUAUUUUGCAGCAUACAACUAAUUUUGAAAACCGAGAUGCCAGGCUAUCAACUCGCCCAGAGUGAUUUGGAACAUGUUCAUCUCAAGUACAUAUGCAGACAGUGCAACUUUGUGUUACGUGACCCGCUACAAACACCGUGCGCUCAUUUUUAUUGCCGAGGCUGUUUGGAACACCUUAAAAGCAGCAACACGAUCUACAAAUGUAAAGCGGAUGAUGAAGAAUUCAGUCUAUCUGAGGUAGUAUACAGUGAUCAUCAUAUAACGCUAAUUCAGAUUGGCUGAAAACCAUCUUUAUGAAAAGUCAAACCAUGGCAUGUCUCUGAUGGACUACGUCCGGUCACGUGAACGAGUUUAAGGCCCCGUCCACACUACGCCGGACAAAUUUGGAAAAGCAGCUUUAUUUCUACGGGUAGGCCUAUCGUC